GAAGCUGUGGAGAAGUGGGAGUUCUCACCGGUUUGUCAGACCGGAGGUCGCGGGUUCAAGUCCCGCCGGCUUCACCA
This 77-nucleotide transfer RNA is filed under the name Paenibacillus foliorum. Its description in RNAcentral is "Paenibacillus sp. LMG 31456 tRNA-Asp". It matches the Rfam family "tRNA". Rfam says of the family: Transfer RNA (tRNA) molecules are approximately 80 nucleotides in length. Their secondary structure includes four short double-helical elements and three loops (D, anti-codon, and T loops). The record is from RNAcentral. Lineage: Bacteria; Bacillati; Bacillota; Bacilli; Caryophanales; Paenibacillaceae.